UAGGGUUGUAAAGCUCUUUUACCCGGGAAGAUAAUGACUGUACCGGGAGAAUAAGCCACCGGCUAACUCCGUGCCAGCAGCCGCGGGUAAUACGGAGGGGGCUAGCGUUGCUCGGAAUAUACUGGGCGUAAAGCGCACGUAGGCGGCUUUGUAAGUCAGAGGUGAAAGCCUGGAGCUCAACUCCAGAACUGCCUUUGAGACUGCAUCGCUUGAAUCCAGGAGAGGUCAGUGGAAUUCCGAGUGUAGAGGUGAAAUUCGUAGAUAUUCGGAAGAACACCAGUGGCGAAGGCGGCUGACUGGACUGGUAUUGACGCUGAGGUGCGAAAGGUGGGGAGCAAACAGGAUUAGAUACCCUGGUAGUCCACGCCGUAAACGAUGAUAACUAGCUGUCCGGGCACUUGGUSUUGGGUGGCGCAGUAAACGCAUUAAGUUAUCCGCCUGGGGAGUACGGCCGCAAGGUUAAAACUCAAAGGAAUUGACGGGGGCCUGCACAMGCGGUGGAGCAUGUGGUUUAAUUCGAAGCACCGCSCMGMCCCUUCCCMGCGUUUKAC
This 551-nucleotide ribosomal RNA is filed under the name uncultured Sphingomonas sp. RNAcentral's name for it is "bacterial SSU rRNA". It matches the Rfam family "Bacterial small subunit ribosomal RNA", at positions 418 to 985 of the family's 1533-position model. The record is from RNAcentral. Lineage: Bacteria; Pseudomonadati; Pseudomonadota; Alphaproteobacteria; Sphingomonadales; Sphingomonadaceae.